Molecule: ribosomal RNA, 253 nt
Filed under: uncultured bacterium
Lineage: Bacteria
Description: partial 16S ribosomal RNA
Rfam family: Bacterial small subunit ribosomal RNA
Source: RNAcentral
UACGAAGGUCCCAAGCGUUAUCCGGAUUUAUUGGGUUUAAAGGGUGCGUAGGCGGACUAUUAAGUCAGUGGUGAAAGCCCCAGGCCCAACCUUUGAAAGCCGAUGGAUACUGUGAGGCUAGAGUCCGGAAGAGGCGAGUGGAAUUCCUGGUGUAGCGGUGGAAUGCGCAGAUAUCAGGAGGAACACCAAUAGCGAAGGCAGCUCGCUGGGACGGUACUGACGCUAAGGCGCGAAAGCGUGGGGAGCGAACAGG